UACGGAGGGUGCAAGCGUUAUCCGGAUUCACUGGGUUUAAAGGGUGUGUAGGCGGGCAGAUAAGUCAGUGGUGAAAUACCUAAGCUUAACUUGGGAACUGCCAUUGAUACUAUUUGUCUUGAAUGUCGUGGAGGUUAGCGGAAUAUGUCAUGUAGCGGUGAAAUGCUUAGAUAUGACAUAGAACACCCAUUGCGAAGGCAGCUAACUACGCGAAUAUUGACGCUGAGGCACGAAAGCGUGGGGAUCAAACAGG
This 253-nucleotide ribosomal RNA is filed under the name uncultured bacterium. RNAcentral describes it as "partial 16S ribosomal RNA". It matches the Rfam family "Bacterial small subunit ribosomal RNA", at positions 524 to 776 of the family's 1533-position model. The record is from RNAcentral.